CACAAGAAGAAAAAAGCAAAUCUGCCCAUAACACAUCACAUAAAAUCACCCUCAAUCCCAAGCAAGAGAAGUAAAAACUAUCAUUCUACAUGUAGCACUUAGUUGGCACUUUAUAUUUAUCACCCCUUCUAGUUCUUACUGGGAACGAGCAAAGGAGCUGCUCUCCAUAGUCGAAUUACACAUUGCAUUUAAUUUUCUCUAAAUAUACCAAAUAUGUAUGCAUUUUCAGUGUCCGAGAUUAUCUCGAACAUUAUUACCUUUCUACAAAACCUAGAUACCCGAAAACUCUUGAGCACAAAGUUUGUCCCAAGUUAACAUGCUUCACCGUGACUUCUUGUAAAAGCCAUAAGCCACAGCGACAACAGCCACUGCUCCAACCACACCUACAGCUGCGAGUAUUUCACGCUGCUCCCAUUUGCCGAACCAGUUUGAAACUGUUCCCUGCCCUUUCUUGUUCUCUUUCUGCUCAGCACUUGCAUCUCUACAACAAGAAACUCCCGCAGCACCUUGGCAACAGCUGAAACUAGUUACACUACUCUCCUGGCUUUUUCCAUUUUCAAGAGACUUCUUUUCUUCAUUGGUUACUUCAGGAACCUUCUGUUCAUCCACUUUAUCAGUUACCUUCUCAUAUUGUCCCAUUUGGCCCCUCCAAAGUCGUUCAAUGACUUUUCCCUCUCCAAUAUGCUCAUCAAGCAAAGCAGGUACAUCACUUGGCGUAACAUAGCCAUACCAGUGG
This 736-nucleotide unclassified non-coding RNA is filed under the name Hevea brasiliensis (rubber tree). The record is from RNAcentral. Lineage: Eukaryota; Viridiplantae; Streptophyta; Magnoliopsida; Malpighiales; Euphorbiaceae.